This 253-nucleotide ribosomal RNA is filed under the name uncultured bacterium. RNAcentral's name for it is "partial 16S ribosomal RNA". It matches the Rfam family "Bacterial small subunit ribosomal RNA", at positions 524 to 776 of the family's 1533-position model. The record is from RNAcentral.
UACGUAGGAGGCGAGCGUUGUCCGGAUUUACUGGGCGUAAAGCGCGCGCAGGCGGCACAUCAAGUAAGGUGUGAAAUCUCCCUGCUCAACGGGGAGGGUGCACUUUAGACUGAUGAGCUAGAGGACGGUAGAGGGGGGUAGAAUUGCUGGUGUAGCGGUGAAAUGCGUAGAGAUCAGCAGGAAUACCCGUGGCGAAGGCGGCCCCCUGGGCCGAUACUGACGCUGAGGAGCGAAAGCGUGGGGAGCGAACAGG